Molecule: ribosomal RNA, 466 nt
Filed under: uncultured bacterium
Lineage: Bacteria
Description: partial 16S ribosomal RNA
Rfam family: Bacterial small subunit ribosomal RNA
Source: RNAcentral
GAUGAACGCUGGCGGCGUGCUUAACACAUGCAAGUCGAACGGAAAGGCCAGUGCUUGCCCUGGUACUCGAGUGGCGAACGGGUGAGUAACACGUGGGUGAUCUGCCCUGUACUUCGGGAUAAGCCUGGGAAACUGGGUCUAAUACCGGAUAGGACACCUUUUUGGAUAUUGUUCUGGAAAGCUUUUGCGGUAUGGGAUGAGCUCGCGGCCUAUCAGCUUGUUGGUGGGGUAAUGGCCUACCAAGGCGUCGACGGGUAGCCGGCCUGAGAGGGUGGACGGCCACAUUGGGACUGAGAUACGGCCCAGACUCGUACGGGAGGCAGCAGGGGGGAAUAUUGCACAAUGGGCGCAAGCCUGAUGCAGCGACGCCGCGUGGGGGAUGAAGGCCUUCGGGUUGUAAACUGCUUUCGCUAGGGACGAAGCGCAAGUGACGGUACCUGGAGAAGAAGCACCGGCUAACUACGUG